UCUCCGUAGGUGAACCUGCGGAGGGAUCAUUACUGAGUGAGGGCCUUCUGGUCCGACCUCCAACCCCAUGUUAUCCGACACUGUUGCCUCCGGGGCGACCCGGCCUUCGGGCGUCGGGGCCCCCGGUGGACCACCCAACCCUGCAUCGUUGCGUCUGAGUCGAAAUAUAAAUCAAUCAAAACUUUCAACAACGGAUCUCUUGGUUCUGGCAUCGAUGAAGAACGCAGC
RNAcentral lists this unclassified non-coding RNA (228 nucleotides) under uncultured fungus. RNAcentral describes it as "sequence contains ITS1, 5.8S rRNA gene". The stretch from base 180 to 228 matches the Rfam family "5.8S ribosomal RNA", at positions 1 to 49 of the family's 154-position model. The record is from RNAcentral. Lineage: Eukaryota; Fungi.